GAUGAACGCUGGCGGCGUGCCUAAUACAUGCAAGUCGAGCGAACAGACGAGGAGCUUGCUCCUCUGACGUUAGCGGUGGACGGGUGAGUAACACGUGGAUAACCUACCUAUAAGACUGGGAUAACUUCGGGAAACCGGAGCUAAUACCGGAUAACAUGUUGAACCGCACGGUUCAACAGUGAAAGACGGUCUUGCUGUCACUUAGAGAUGGAUCCGCGCCGCAUUAGCUAGUUGGUAAGGUAACGGCUUACCAAGGCAACGAUGCGUAGCCGACCUGAGAGGGUGAUCGGCCACACUGGAACUGAGACACGGUCCAGACUCCUACGGGAGGCAGCAGUAGGGAAUCUUCCGCAAUGGGCGAAAGCCUGACGGAGCAACGCCGCGUGAGUGAAGAAGGUCUUCGGAUCGUAAAACUCUGUUAUUAGGGGAGAACAAAUGUGUAAGUAACUAUGCACGUCUUGACGGUACCUAAUCAGAAAGCCACGGCUAACUACGUGCCAGCAGCCGCGGUAA
RNAcentral lists this ribosomal RNA (513 nucleotides) under uncultured bacterium. RNAcentral describes it as "partial 16S ribosomal RNA". It matches the Rfam family "Bacterial small subunit ribosomal RNA", at positions 28 to 523 of the family's 1533-position model. The record is from RNAcentral.